This is a long non-coding RNA of Galeopterus variegatus (Sunda flying lemur), 706 nucleotides long. RefSeq lists it as uncharacterized. NCBI's taxonomy places the organism in Eukaryota, Metazoa, Chordata, Mammalia, Dermoptera, Cynocephalidae. The transcript has 3 exons. The record is from RefSeq and is a predicted model, not a curated record.
CCCAUAGUUCGCUCUCCCAAAGCCUGGGUGAGAGCCGAGCUGCCACAGAGUGCGUGUUCACAAAGGGUCACCACACACGGAGCUGCCCCUCCCUGCCUCCCUAAACCUCACCUUCGAGGCCAGGGGCUUUUCCACCAGGAUUCUGGGGUGCUUCUCCUCCUUUCCUCCCUCCCAGAUCUUCUCACGGUUGGAUUCCUUAACCAUUAAACAAGUCUUCGGCCCAAACCUGGGAUAUAAAAGAUGCCUGCUAUGAUUGCUUGUUCUGGUCUCAUCAAAAAGAUUAGAGUUGAAGUUUAUACAUUCACAUGAUUCAAAAUUCGAAAGGUACAAAAGGAUACACAGUGAAAAGUCUUCUUUCCACACCUGUCCCUCAGCUACCUAGUACCCUGCCUGGGAAGCAACAAAUGCUAACAGUUUUUUUGUGUAUUUUGUAAAAAAAUGUUACCGUAUACAAGCACAUAAGUACUAUAUAUAUUUUAUUUUUUAUUUUCUUUUUUUAUAUAAUAGUACAUAAUGUGUAUAUUGUUUAUGUAUCUUAUUUGUUCACUUAUGUUAGACGUUCUAUAUUCUUGUAUAAGGUGUUUCCUCAUUCUUUUUUAUGGCUGCAUGAUAUUCCAUUGUAUGUUGUAUCAUUAUUUCAUCAGUCCUCUCCUUUCGGACACUGAAGUUUUUAUUCAGAUCUUUAUUAAAAGCAUUGUGUAAAGAA